Molecule: ribosomal RNA, 253 nt
Filed under: uncultured bacterium
Lineage: Bacteria
Description: partial 16S ribosomal RNA
Rfam family: Bacterial small subunit ribosomal RNA
Source: RNAcentral
UACAUAGGGGGCAAGCGUUAUCCGGAAUUACUGGGUGUAAAGGGUGCGUAGGUGGUUAUGAAAGUCAGAUGUGAAAACUUGGGGCUCAACCCCAAGAAUGCAUUUGAAACUAUGUAACUAGAGUACAGGAGAGGUAAGUGGAAUUUCUAGUGUAGCGGUAAAAUGCGUAGAUAUUAGGAAGAACACCAGUGGCGAAGGCGACUUACUGGACUGAAACUGACACUGAGGCACGAAAGCGUGGGGAGCGAACAGG